CCUACGGGAGGCAGCAGUGAGGAAUAUUGGUCAAUGGGCGGGAGCCUGAACCAGCCAAGCCGCGUGAGGGAAGAAGGUACAGCGUAUCGUAAACCUCUUUUGUCAGGGAACAAAGGCGGGGACUAGUCCCCGGAUGAGGGUACCUGAAGAAAAAGCAUCGGCUAACUCCGUGCCAGCAGCCUCGGUAAUACGGAGGAUGCGAGCGUUAUCCGGAUUUAUUGGGUUUAAAGGGUGCGCAGGCGGCAGGUUAAGUCAGCGGUAAAAGCCCGGGGCUCAACCCCGGCGAGCCGUUGAAACUGGGGGGCUUGAGUUGGAGAGAAGUACGCGGAAUGCGCGGUGUAGCGGUGAAAUGCUUAGAUAUCGCGCAGAACCCCGAUUGCGAAGGCAGCGUACCGGCUCCACACUGACGCUGAGGCACGAAAGCGUGGGUAUCGAACAGGAUUAGAUACCCGUGUAGUC
RNAcentral lists this ribosomal RNA (459 nucleotides) under uncultured bacterium. RNAcentral's name for it is "partial 16S ribosomal RNA". It matches the Rfam family "Bacterial small subunit ribosomal RNA", at positions 338 to 795 of the family's 1533-position model. The record is from RNAcentral.